RNAcentral lists this ribosomal RNA (281 nucleotides) under uncultured prokaryote. Its description in RNAcentral is "partial 16S ribosomal RNA". It matches the Rfam family "Bacterial small subunit ribosomal RNA", at positions 524 to 803 of the family's 1533-position model. The record is from RNAcentral.
UACGUAGGGGCGAGCGUUGUCCGGAAUUACUGGGCGUAAAGGGCGCGUAGGCGGUUAUCCAAGUCAGGGGUGAAAACCUUGGGCUCAACUCAGGGCCUGCCUCUGAAACUGGGUAACUUGAGGGCAGGAGAGGGGAGUGGAAUUCCCAGUGUAGCGGUGAAAUGCGUAGAUAUUGGGAGGAACACCAGUGGCGAAGGCGACUUCCUGGCACAAUACUGACGCUCAUGUGCGAAAGCUAGGGUAGCGAACGGGAUUAGAUACCCCUGUAGUCCCUGAGCGGG